UGUUUGAUUUCAGCCGGAGUAAUGGCUGGUUCGGAGCGAGAUGCUGAUUUUUCGAGCGGAGCGGACGAGGACGAUAUGUCGAGUCUACAUUCGCCGAGCGCCUCGGAGGAUAGCGUCGAAGUUCAGGUGACACCGAUAUCCCUGAAGAACAAAAGGAAACUCGCCGAACCCCGGAAGAUUCAAGAAUCGGCGAGCACGGCACCGCUCAAGAAGAGACGAAUCGAACGCGUGAAGGAAACUCUGAUGGUUCCGGUGAACGAAGAAUUUCGCACGACCAACUGUUCGCCGAGCCCGUUCAGACCUUGGAGCAGUUCGAACAAAAGCCAAGAUCCGACUUUGCCGCGGAGCGUAACGGAAAAGAUCGUGGUCGCUCCAUCUUCGACGGCAUCCUCCGUGCCAUCCUCCGUGCCAUCCUCCGUGCCAUCCUCCGUGCCAUCCUCCGUGCCGUCUUUCGUACCAUCCUCCAUGCCAUCGCCCGCUGUACCGACACCGCUGUCCACUGUGCCAUUAUCCACGAUAAUAUCGACCGACACCAGACAACUCGAACAGAAAGAUAUCCAAACUCGAAGGGAGUCGCAGCGAACGGAGAAUCCGUCGACUAGACAUCGCCAUUCGGCGCAAUCUCGCCUGACUCGACUCGAUAGACGCGAUUCUCCCAGUCUAAAAUCCGAACCCGUUGUAAUCUCCUCGUGCAACGUUGCGUCGAACGGCACAAACGUGGACAUGGACGCGAAUGCAGUCGCGAUCGGGCAGGUUGCAACGCCGACAUUGUUCGCGUCCACGCAUCCCAGAUUACAAGAAGAACCCUUGUCGCUCGUCCUGCGAGGAGAAAUAGCUAGUAGAGUUCCUUCUCAUCCGGCUGUAAACGGAAGCUACGAAAAACCGUACCCGGUAGACAGGGUCAAAGUUUCGUUCCCUUGUUCGUCCGCGUCUUGUUCGUCUUCCUCCUCUUCCUCCUCCUCGUCUUCCUUCUCCUCGUCCUCGUUAUCAUCGUCGUCCUCGUCGUCCUCGUCGUCGUCAUCGUCGUCGUCGUCGUCGUCGUCGUCGUCUUCGUCUUUCUCUUGCUCAACCUCGACCUCGACCUCGGUCUCGACAUCGAUAUCGACGUCGACUGCAACGACUACGUCGAUAUCGACACCGACGCCUGCAUCGGUAUUGUCUUCGUCGUCCUCGUCGUCGUCUUCGUCGCUCUCGUCAUCGGCUGUGUUACUGAAUCGUCGAGAAGACGAGCGAUCCGACAGAAACGAACGCGAUUCUUCUCCGACGGCGGCAACGAACGCGCAGACCGGUCCCUCUAAGCAACAUCCAGUCGCCGGUCAACAGAGGAAUUACAAGAACAUGACGCGCGAAAGAAGGAUAGAGGCGAACGCCAGAGAAAGGACCAGGGUGCACACGAUAAGCGCCGCGUUCGACACUCUGAGGCGCGCCAUACCGGCCUAUUCUCACAAUCAAAAAUUGUCGAAACUAUCCGUGCUGCGGAUCGCGUGCAGUUACAUAAUGACUCUCGGCAAGAUAGUCGGUACUCCGGAGGGAGAGUCGACGAACAGUGCGUCCUUGGGAGCUUGCGUGGACCUCGUAUCGAGGACUAUCCAGACCGAGGGCAAACUCAGGAAAAGGAAGGAAGACUGAAGAAGCUAGCCUACCGAAACGGGAAGUGUGCGGACCUCUUGAAUUCGUAAUGUACAAAUUGACGCGUACCACCCUUACACCGCUGUCGCAGUAACAUCCUCGAAACUCCGGGACUGCCGAUCGUCGUUGAACAGCGAUCCUUUUUCCUCCGGUUGUAUCGCCUCGCCACACACCGCUUCGCCUUACCUCGCUUCGCCUCGCCUCGCCUCGCCUAGCCUCGCUUAGCCUCGCCUCGCCUAGCCUAACCUAACCUCGCCUCGCCUCGCCUAGCCUUGCCUCGCUCCUCGUCACACGGUAUAACCUGCUCAGUCCCAACCCAACGCGCCUCGACGAAUCCAACGAUCGUACAAUCCCGUUCGAUCUAUCGAAUAGUAUAGGUAUAAAUAAGUUCGACCAAAGCGGACCGUAACGAUAAUCAAACGAACAGGGAAGGCGUCAUCGAUCUUCCUUCGCGUCAUUGACUCGCAUUCGAAUAGUUCGCAACGAGAAAACGGAAAGGUAGAUCGGACUCGGGAGGAGAGGCAGUUAAUUCGGCGAGUCACGGUUCACGAUCAACCGCCGCAUCGAGUUCUCGCGACGCUAUCGAAUACGAUGUCGCGCAAAUUUACCUUUCUAUGUACGUUGUAAGACGACUUUGGGCGCUUACGUGCUCGCAUCCGUAAAACUUGAGAUAAAUAAAUCAGGAAACGACUGAGAAACGCUGCAUGUGCUUUUAUUGGUGCCCACCGACAAACCUCUUUCGCGUUCGCGUUAAAAACCCGAUGGCUGUUUCGUCGAAUACUCGCAAUGGAAUAUACGUACAGUCGACCUUGACCCAUCUAUCGCAUCCGAUUACCAGUAAAUGUUUUCGCUAUCGAUACCACGACCUACUAGGCGAAGAUAAGGACGAGCAGACGCGACGCGCUGCGAGAAACGCGAGUCUGACGAGAAAGGACGAUUCUACUUCCUUUCUUCCCGAAUCCUCUAGCACCGAAUGGCUCGUUCCGAGAGUAUUCCCGCGGCAGGUGGCGACGAGACUUGCUCGUGGAGUGUUACCUGCUCGAAAACCGGCCUACUGCAUUUUGGUCGCGUCUCGCGUACUGCUCGGUCGACGAAACGCUAUCCCAAACACGGCCCGUGUGUAACACCGGUGUCGUUGACGCGAAAUCGGACGUACAGGGCUAGGCAAAAUAUUUGCCCGUUUAUUCUUGCAUUUAUUCUAUUGCAUUUAUUCCGUAUGCCGUCCGAUCCGAAAACUCAACGUCCCCUCUCUAUUUCCUAGCCAUCUGGACCGAUUGGUAUUCUACUUUGGCCGAUUCACGAUGGUUCCGGUCGGAGAUCGCAGAGGCGAGACCGUUGAUGUAUCCGUGGUAAAUUUCUCGUACGAGAUACGCGACGGGACGCUCUGUCGCGCGUGUUCCCGAAACGACGGAACGACGGAACGACGGAACGACGGGACGACGAACCGAGAUAAAGGAGGCUUCCGAAUGAAGAGGCACGCGCAACGAAUGAGCGCGCACAUGCAUAUAGGAAGACCACUCUCGGUCCGUUGCAUCGAGUAGAUCCGACGCGAGGAGAAAUUGCACGCGCGCACCUGCUACGUAGCGCAGGUGCAUUUACCGGUUUCAUAAGCAUCGCCAAAUUUUCGAGGGUUAUUCGUCGCGAAUAAUAAUCAGUCGAACGCUACGCGCAUCAGGUACGCGGCAAACUCGCGAGAUCGUUCCGACUCUGUCUCCUUCGGGUUUUCCACGGUACAGCGAGGGCAUUCGAAUGGCCGAUUAGAAUGCGCGCGGCAAAUAUAAUUGAUCGAAUAAUCGGGAAAUUGGUGUGGAGCGGUGCAACCGUGAAGCGGCAGUUAACGAGAGACAGACUCGUAUACGUCCAUGUACAACGUCUGGUGGGAGGUUGCCAGAACGUUGGCGCCAGUUGACCGUCGCCGGCCGCCCGCCGGCCGUCCCGCCGGCCGUCGGUCGCCAGCCGCCAACCGCCAGCCGCUAACCGCCAACCUCUGCUACGUCGGACGACCUACGCGAAUGCAUACGCACCGCCUCGAGUUUACUGGUACUCGCGUACCACUACCUACGUAGAUAUAUUCGUGGUAUCUUCCCGACGACUCGUUUCGAUUUUACUUCCCCUUCCGUUUCCCUUUCUUUCCUCCUCUCUUCUCUUCUUUCCUCAUCUUUACCUUUGCUUCUACUCGGCAAAUCUCACUCUACCCGCUCUCCGAUAGCAAUGACGUUCAUAUACGUCCGACAACGAACAAAGACGGAAAUUCCAAAGAGCGAGCGCACGAUGGUAUCGUUCCGUAUAAUUGACAGACUCGCGACAAAAAUUCGACACAGAGAAAGAGAGAGAGAGAGAGAUAGAGAGAGAGAGAGGAGCGAGCAAACUAGCGCCGAGGGUAAGAGGGUAAGAGGGUAAGAGCGGAAAACAGGAAAGCGCAAAGAGGAGAUAGAGGAAUGACUGAGAAAAACGAUACCGUUCUACCGUGCGAAUCGUCGGCAACUACCUCGCCAUCUACCUCCCUGUUUUUCCCCCCUAGAUGUAGGCAUGCAGCGGGUACGACAGUUACAGUGUGUACGCGUUUUCUCCGUCCGAGUAUGUGUUCGUGUAGUCGGUGCGAGAGCGAUUCUGUAUAUAGGAUGCGACAGUGUGGCGCCAACCUCUCGCAUACGAGCCAGUUUCCUCCGGUGUUUCGCGACGGUACGGCCAGACCAUUGUACAGGGUGGUCGACAAAUGCGGAUCGCAUCGGCCGCGAGACCGUUCGACCAGAUUCGCGCCACCGAAAUCCCGAAAAGAACGCAUUCUUCGAUCGAUUGUUUUAUUUGCAUUCGCCGCGUGUUUGCACGGUGUAAGCUGUUGUCGCCGAUGGGCCACGAUAACGUAAUCCUAAAAUACAGCGCUCCGAUUCUAUCGGCGAUGGGAAGCUUUAUAUAUGGGAAGCUAUAGUAGGACAUACUAUACUUUUUCUCGCGUACAAGAACAACCUACAAGUAUAUUUACCUACUUGAGUUACGCGAUCCACGCAACGCGACUUCUCGCCGAUUAGAAUUGCUUCUCCUUCGACGGUUUCUUCGAAAACACCUGUAAUCCCAUCCGAAUCGACUUCUCGCUGCAACGGCAUGACUUUGUAUCCUGUAACGAUAUCAUCGUGGCAAUCCUCUAUCGUAACGUUUUCGAUCACUUGUGAAUAUUUAAAUAUCGAAACGUUUAAAUAUUUAAAUUUCUAUUCAACGUCCAUUUAAUUGGCAACCGAUUAAUCGGCUCGCGGCGUAAUCUACCGCGAAAUACCCUAACCAGCGGGCACACGAUUGAUGUCGAGCCUGCGUCGCGUUAGAUGGCGCUGCGAAUCCGUUUAAACGUAAUGCGUCAUUUGAAAAAAAUGCGAAAUCUUGUUUAAAGACGGUAUCCGAGAGACUUUAGUAAAUAAUAACACGCGGUAGAGAUACAAUCCGAAGUUUAUCCAAGCCCGACUUCUGCGUACCUGUUUGUUACGUUACGUGAUUGUAUGUCACGCAAAGUUGUUCGAUCCUUGUCUUAGGGCGUACGCUAAUUGUAAGAAAUAAACUUUAAGAAACCAAAGCUUUUACCAACGAUUCAUUUUAACGCCGAUACCUGCACCGAUGUCGUUCGACAACGACCGCUACUUUACGUCGCUUUAGCCUAUCGACAAGGAAGAACCUGCCAAUUCGUUCGAUUGUUCGUAUUUGCCCUGAUCUUUCGGUUGGUAAGCAUUUCGUUUCGUGUCCCUUAUCCGAUAAGGGAUUAUUGAAUUUCAUCGAAUAAUAAUUAUUAUAUUCAUAUAAACUUUGCACUUACAUUUGUUAGAAUCUUGAUCGUAUUAUUCUUGUCUUUUGCCUCACUAUUUCAUUAGUACAUUUCAUACGAACCUAAAGUCAGCCGGUUAACCGAUCAAUCGAUACUUGAGAUGAUAAAACUAUCGCUUCCGGAUACCAUCGUGCCACCUAGCGCGAAAAGCAUGGUACUAUUCGCUAAUAGUGCAUCUUACUUAUCUCAAGUUAGUGCUAGUGCUUGGACGUGUCGCGUCGUAAAAAAUAACAGUUCCGGCGAUGUCAAAGUUAAGAGAAACCUCGAAUAAAUAAAAUCGUUAAUGCGUAAUGUGGAUUCAAGUAAAUCCCCAUACGAUUGUUGCGUGAGAGUGGCGCAGGUAAUUGUUCGGACCGCCGACUAUAUUCGCAUGUUUACAGUAGUAAACGGUCUUACGCGGAGAUCCCUAACCUCUCGACAUUUUUUUCAAAAUAAUUCAAAUAAAGUACGGUUUCCGUUGUUGUGCCAUGCAAAAUGAGCAGAAUCACGACGAAGCAACGAGUCGAAUUCUGUCCAAGAGAAAUUUUUGACGCAACCGCGUAUCAAGAAAAGAAAGGGCAAGGUUACAAGCUUGUCGCAGCCUGUUCCAAGUACUAGUUCCAACAAUGAUUCGACGCAUGCCGCGUACGG
Molecule: non-coding RNA, 6067 nt
Organism: Nomia melanderi (Alkali bee)
Lineage: Eukaryota; Metazoa; Arthropoda; Insecta; Hymenoptera; Halictidae
Source: RefSeq, a predicted model, not a curated record